UUACUGGAUUCAUCAUUACAUAUAUAAAAAUUAGAAUAACAGAGAAGAUGAGCAUGGGCCCUGUGCAAGGAGGAUGUGAAAAUUUAUAUAUAUUU
This is a small nuclear RNA of Cricetulus griseus (Chinese hamster), 95 nucleotides long. Lineage: Eukaryota; Metazoa; Chordata; Mammalia; Rodentia; Cricetidae. The record is from Ensembl.